UCAGCGUCAGGAGCCAUCCCAACUGAGGCCCUGGGAGGUCAGUGCUUUUUGUGUGACUGGACGGUGAAGCUGUCUGUGGGAAUGACCUGGCUAUGGCUCAGUGUAGUCCUAAUUAAGGUGUCUUUUACUCCGUGUUCCCAGGCUCCCUCUUUUCCUUCGGUCGCCGUGGGUGUGCCGGACGCCUCUGGCAGGACUAACCCUGUGGCUUUUCUGUCCAACGUGCUGUGCUGCGUGUGCCUGCAGGUCAUAUUUAUCUGCCUGUCAGAACUCUUGGAGCACUGGAUGGAGAGCAGGUCCUAUGAAGAGGAUUAUGGAGUAAAAGGCAGCUUGUACUUAAGUGCAGGGUGGUUGGUGUUUCUGCAGUGUUUGGCACAGGACUGGACUGAAUGCACUCCCUUUAUUCACCUUUUCAGAGAGUAUCGUCCAGAAUACGAGCGCCUGAGAAAAACACUGAGCAGGUGUUCAUUGCUGGGUUUCUGUGCAGACAGAAGUUGUCAGUGCACACACUCCCUUACCUUCAGCAAGCUGGUUUGUGUACAGCCGUUUCUGUUCCCUUCAAGGACCUGAUGCUUCUGCAAUGGGUCCCUCUGAGCUAAUACUAACACGAGGAACUCUCGAUGAAGAGCAAGAAGAGAGGGAGGGUGACGCUGAUGGCAUUGACCAUGAAGGUAAGGGAAUGAGGUCUAAAAGCUGCCUCUCAAGAAAUCCCCUCUGUAUUUCAUGACCUGGAUGGACUGUAAGGAGAGCCUAGAAAACAAGCAAACAUUCAGUCACCUGACGUGUCAGAAUCUGUAGCAGAAGCUCAGCUGCAAUGGUCAGUGCAGGGAUAUCACUCUGUAACCUUUGUGAAAGUUCAAUUGUAAAUUUUCUAUUCAAGUAAUUAAUAGGUGUAUAACACACAUAAACCAGAGAACUUGUUAGGCUUGGGGCAUGCAGUGACCUCUGAACCUGUUUGAUGCACAGAUGUGUCCAUCAUCUUUUUGGCCUUACAGUUUCUGCCCCUGGCUCUCUUCCCUUUUCCUGUGACUGUGGUCUUGGAGCAAUGUUCUAAGUUGUUACAGUGUGAUUUUUCUCUUAUAUAGCUCACAGACUUAAUCUUCAUUCUUUCCCUGUUUCACUGAUGGGUAGGAUCACUUAUUUCCUUUGCCCUAUAAUGUAGUUGAAGAUGGAAUAGACUUUCUAUGUUGCUUUGGCUAUCCUGAUUCUAGCUUUUUUUCAGAAGCACAAGUAGAACAAGUACUGAAAUAGCGCUGAACUUCAACAGCAACGGGGACUGCGCAGGAGAAGGAGGGUGGGCAGCGGGCCUGGGGCGGGCAGGGGGAUGGGGGUGGGGGCGGGCACUU
RNAcentral lists this long non-coding RNA (1343 nucleotides) under Manacus vitellinus (golden-collared manakin). Its description in RNAcentral is "lncRNA (ENSMVIG00005003700.1)". The record is from RNAcentral. Lineage: Eukaryota; Metazoa; Chordata; Aves; Passeriformes; Pipridae.